UGGGGAAUAUUGCACAAUGGGCGCAAGCCUGAUGCAGCCAUGCCGCGUGUGUGAAGAAGGCCUUCGGGUUGUAAAGCACUUUCAGCGAGGAGGAAGGGUAGUGUGUUAAUAGCACAUUGCAUUGACGUUACUCGCAGAAGAAGCACCGGCUAACUCCGUGCCAGCAGCCGCGGUAAUACGGAGGGUGCAAGCGUUAAUCGGAAUUACUGGGCGUAAAGCGCACGCAGGCGGUUUGUUAAGUCAGAUGUGAAAUCCCCGCGCUUAACGUGGGAACUGCAUUUGAAACUGGCAAGCUAGAGUCUUGUAGAGGGGGGUAGAAUUCCAGGUGUAGCGGUGAAAUGUGUAGAGAUCUGGAGGAAUACCGGUGGCGAAGGCGGCCCCCUGGACAAAGACUGACGCUCAGGUGCGAAAGCGUGG
This 417-nucleotide ribosomal RNA is filed under the name uncultured bacterium. RNAcentral describes it as "partial 16S ribosomal RNA". It matches the Rfam family "Bacterial small subunit ribosomal RNA", at positions 355 to 764 of the family's 1533-position model. The record is from RNAcentral.